This 484-nucleotide ribosomal RNA is filed under the name uncultured bacterium. Its description in RNAcentral is "bacterial SSU rRNA". It matches the Rfam family "Bacterial small subunit ribosomal RNA", at positions 328 to 793 of the family's 1533-position model. The record is from RNAcentral.
CGCUAUCACUCCUACGGGGAGGCAGCAGUGGGGAAUAUUGCACAAUGGGGGAAACCCUGAUGCAGCCAUGCCGCGUGUGUGAAGAAGGCCUUCGGGUUGUAAAGCACUUUCAGUAGGGAGGAAGGUAGUGUAGUUAACACCUGCAUUAUUUGACGUUACCUACAGAAGAAGCACCGGCUAACUCCGUGCCAGCAGCCGCGGUAAUACGGAGGGUGCGAGCGUUAAUCGGAAUUACUGGGCGUAAAGCGCAUGCAGGCGGCCUGUUAAGUCAGAUGUAGAAAGGCCCGGGGACGUUAACCUACGGUAAUUGCUAUUUAGUAAACUGGCAGGCUAGAGUCUUGUAGAGGGGGGUAGGAAUUUCAGGUGUAGCGGUGAAAUGCGUAGAGAUCUGAAGGAAUACCAGUGGCGAAGGCGGCCCCCUGGACAAAGACUGACGCUCAGAUGCGAAAGCGUGGGGAGCAAACAGGAUUAGAUACCCUGGUAG